CGACCUGAGAUCAGACGGGAUUACCCGCUGAAUUAAG
Molecule: ribosomal RNA, 37 nt
Filed under: Capilloventer australis
Lineage: Eukaryota; Metazoa; Annelida; Clitellata; Capilloventrida; Capilloventridae
Description: partial 28S ribosomal RNA
Source: RNAcentral